This 253-nucleotide ribosomal RNA is filed under the name uncultured bacterium. Its description in RNAcentral is "partial 16S ribosomal RNA". It matches the Rfam family "Bacterial small subunit ribosomal RNA", at positions 524 to 776 of the family's 1533-position model. The record is from RNAcentral.
GACGGAGGAUGCAAGUGUUAUCCGGAAUCACUGGGCGUAAAGCGUCUGUAGGUGGUUUAAUAAGUCAACUGUUAAAUCUUGAGGCUCAACCUCAAAAUCGCAGUCGAAACUAUUAGGCUAGAGUAUAGUAGGGGUAAAGGGAAUUUCCAGUGGAGCGGUGAAAUGCGUAGAGAUUGGAAAGAACACCAACGGCGAAAGCACUCUGCUGGGCCGACACUGACACUGAGAGACGAAAGCUAGGGGAGCAAAUGGG